AGAGUUUUCUCAGGAUGUUUGAUC
Molecule: non-coding RNA, 24 nt
Filed under: Arabidopsis thaliana (thale cress)
Lineage: Eukaryota; Viridiplantae; Streptophyta; Magnoliopsida; Brassicales; Brassicaceae
Source: RNAcentral